Molecule: unclassified non-coding RNA, 525 nt
Filed under: Hevea brasiliensis (rubber tree)
Lineage: Eukaryota; Viridiplantae; Streptophyta; Magnoliopsida; Malpighiales; Euphorbiaceae
Source: RNAcentral
GCUUCAAGUGAGGGUCUUUGUGUAGAUCUAUGUUACGCCUCUAUUUGAGGGCUAAAGUAGAGAGGUGGAUAAUUGAGUGGCUUUCAAAGGUGGUUUUCUGUCAAAGGUUAAAAAAGAUGUUGGUGGUAGGUUUCAAUUGUCAUCCAGCACCCCCUUUUCUGAGUUAUUCUGUUGUCGUCAUGUGUUGAUGCCUCUAUAUUUCUUCAGUUCAGGAUGCUUAGUUGGAGGAAGGGCUCGUGCUGUAGGGGAGGUAAUGAUACAGCUGCUAGAGUCUUUCCUUUGGUUAGAUGAGUUUUUCUGUUUUAAAUCCUCUCGUGAUCGUUUUAAUCAGACCUUGGUAGUUGGCUUACAUGCCAUUGUAUUGCGGUGCUGAUGAUGCAGGUUAGUGCUUGUGGAGCUUUUUUCUUCAACAUUACCAAUGGUCUGUGGUAGCAGUACCUUGAAGGAGUAGCUAAGAGCUUUAUCUAUGAAAGCAUCUAGAGACUUACUUGGAGCCAUCUAGUAGGCUAGAUCCAUCAAAUUGUG